Doryrhamphus excisus (bluestripe pipefish) is the source of this 3252-nucleotide non-coding RNA. The record is from RefSeq and is a predicted model, not a curated record. NCBI's taxonomy places the organism in Eukaryota, Metazoa, Chordata, Actinopteri, Syngnathiformes, Syngnathidae.
CUAUAUUAACCUGAUAUACAGGGUGUCCUAUAUCAUACAGGGUGUCCUAUAUUAUACAGGGUGUCCUAUAUUAACCUAAUAUACAGGGUGUCCUAUAUUAUACAGGGUGUCCUAUAUUAACCUAAUAUACAGGGUGUCCUAUAUUAUACAGGGUGUCCUAUAUUAACCUCAUAUACAGGGUGUCCUAUAUUAUACAGGGUGUCCUAUAUUAACCUCAUAUACAGGGUGUCUUAUAUUACCUUAAUAUACAGGGUGUCCUAUAUUAACCUGGUAUACAGGGUGUCCUAUAUUAUACAGGGUGUCCUAUAUUAUACAGGGUGUCCUAUAUUAACCUCAUAUACAGGGUGUCUUAUAUUACCUUAAUAUACAGGGUGUCCUAUAUUAACCUGAUAUACAGGGUGUCCUAUAUCAUACAGGGUGUCCUAUAUUAUACAGGGUGUCCUAUAUUAACCUAAUAUACAGGGUGUCCUAUAUUAUACAGGGUGUCCUAUAUUAACCUAAUAUACAGGGUGUCCUAUAUUAUACAGGGUGUCCUAUAUUAACCUCAUAUACAGGGUGUCCUAUAUUAACCUAAUAUACAGGUAAUUGUCCCCAUGUUGGAGGUAAUUGUCGUGCGAGAGCAACGCUGCUGGUCUUCAUCACUCUCCUGUGAUACAAGGUCACUUUGUGGCGGCUUCAUCUUGUCCCUCAUUUGCAUACGUUUCACCUGUAGGGCGGGGCUGGGAGGGAGGGGAGGAGCACAGCUGGACAAACAGCCACUCAGCCCUCCCCCGCCAGAAUGCAACCAUCUGUGCACCGGCUGACCCCCUCCCACCCCCGCAUGCUAAGGUAUAGCAACUUUAUGCGAAUGCUAAUGAGCGACGGGCGACUUUUCCUCAAAUGCCUUUUUAAUCCUUCAAGUUGCCCGCGAGCAAGGAGUCCACAAAUCAUGGCCGUGCUGUGGCUUUACCACGGAUGGAGGAGUCAAUACGCCCAUAAAAGACGUCCUCGGGCCAAUAUGCAUGAGCUCAUGCCAAAAAUGAUAAUCAGCGUCUGGCCAGGAAUCAUCCCAACAGUCCUGGGACUCCAUUUCAUUUCCGCACAUUGACAGUGAAAAGUCAGGAGCGUGACAUCACCGCCUCCACCCCCGCCCCCACCCCCAGCGUGCCGGGUACCUUCUUGUCGCUCAGGCCGGACACGGUGUCGAUGUACUGCUCCUGGAUCAUGAAGGCUGCCAGGUUGGCCGUGUAGGAUGCCAGGAAGAUGACGGCGAAGAAGGCCCACACCAGGACCAUGAUCUUGCUGGUGGUUCCUUUGGGGUUCUCGAUGGGCACCGAGUUGUUGAAGACGAUUCCCCACAGCAGCCAUACCGACUUCCCGAUAGUGAAGGUGGGACCGCCGGGAUCUGUGGAGGAGAUGGGGAGAUGAUGACCUUGGAUCUGAAGCCCCGCCCCUAAGCUUAACCAGGCCUCCAACCAUGCAUUGUUGUUUUCUUAUAGCGUCACAACACUGUUACAUUAAAUUACAAUUAUAUAUUCACUUAAUUGAAAUAUUUAAUGUAAUAUAUGUAAUAUGUAAUGUGUUUUAAACCACCCUUAUAUUCAUCUACAAUAAUGUUUAAUCUCCAAGGUGAGACGAAUUGAACUUUUGCACCGAGGAAGAGGAUGCGGUCACCUUUAGCCGUCACCAGGCUGCGGUUGUAGCCGACAGGACUGCAGUAUUCAAAGACAAACACAGUGAUGGCCACCACGGUGAGACACAUGACGAACAUCAUCACCCAGACCGCCGGACUGUAGGGCUCUGCAAUCACACACACAGGACAAAGCCCCACCCACAGGUGUAGAUCAGCCAGCAGUACCCGUGAGUCACUGUCAGGAACGACUCCCCGAGAUCGGAACGACUCGUUCAUGACUCGCACAUAUCGAUUCGACACAGGUAUGUAUUGUGUCUCAUCAGGUUUGUUUGCUUUUGCGUAAAAUGAGCUGCUAAAUGUAAAGUUACCUUAGCCGAGACAUUUGACAGCGUUUUCUUGUUUACUGCGGUAAAGACGACGUUGCCUUUUUACAGUUUAAGUCGAAUUAUGUGCACAACAAAGCAAGGUUUGUGUACCUGUUACUAACUGUUAGCUUGGAAGCUAAGUAGAAGACGACAACAUGGAGCAGAAUACUUAUGGAUGUUUUACCAACGUCUGGGCGAGUAUGCAUCAUAAAAGUUAUUCUGUUAUGUGAACAUUUACACAUCAGUUUACUUUCUAUGCUGCUGCAGUUGGAGAGCAACACCGGUGGCAAACAAGGCUGAUGUCUUAACGACGUGUCUUCCUGGGACUCCUCAUUGCUCCUCACUGAACGCUACCUCCACGCAGAAGCACCAAAAGCGCCAGGGCUUGGGGAAGGACAACCUCACGACCUUCAGGAAUGACGGAAGAUGGCGCCCCCCCCCCCCCCCCCUUCUCAGCGUCUUGGUCAACGGGAGUGUCCACUAACGGGCUUUGGAACCGCGUCCACCAGUCAGUCCACCAAAGGAUGCAUAAAGAUGAAGAUGAAGACGAGGACCAGUCAUGUGACACGGCGCAGGUCUGUUUCUCUUCAUGGUGUAGGCUAGCAGUUAUUUACAUGCUAACAACCGCGAUGAGCCGACUUUGAAACUUUGUAGGAUUACUUUGUAAACAAAGCGAGCGCAGGCAAACAGGAGCAACCUGAUUGGUCCCUGCAGUCACAUGACUUGCAUGACAAAUCAGGGUCAACCUCCCGUGUAACGCUGCAUAGUGCCUCCGGGGGCAGUAGUGAGGCGCUAGCUAACGCUGUAGCUGUUUGUUGUGUGCUGAGGUACGUCUGUGAGUGGCGCUAGCGUUGGCUGAUGACUGAUGUCAGUGUUUGGAUGAAGAUGUUUUGAAAUUCCAUAUCAUGUUUGAGGCUUUUUUUUGGCAGCAGUCCUUGAAAGCAGCUGCGUCUGAGCGGACAUGUUGAUGGAUCAUCUUCCAUGACCAUCGCUCGCUGGUGGCUAGCGGCCAUGUUAGGCAUGAAAACAGUCAUCUUUCUGGGCGUCUGAAUCCCUCAUUCGGGGGUGGAGCUGGAAGGUCACCUCGUGAAAAGCGGGCAUCUGCGGUAUUGUCAAUGAUUUAUUUUUUAUAGCAAUUUUGCCAAAUAUUAUAUUUGUGUAUGUAUAUACAUGUGUGUAUACACAUGUAGAAAUAUACGUCAAUGUGUAUAAAAAUAUGUGUGUGCAGUUAACUGUAUAGUGGAUGUGUAUAUGUAUGUAUAUACAUACAGUAUG